Molecule: unclassified non-coding RNA, 1019 nt
Filed under: Hevea brasiliensis (rubber tree)
Lineage: Eukaryota; Viridiplantae; Streptophyta; Magnoliopsida; Malpighiales; Euphorbiaceae
Source: RNAcentral
GGUAAGUGAAGGUCUUUUAUAGGAUCAUAUAUAAACAAAACCAACCUGCAAUCUAAAGUACGUGCUAGAAAUCGCCAUAAUAUAACUAGUGAAAUAUUUACAGAAGUGAAGGACCAAAAGCAAACUCCACAACUGAUCUAAGUUCAUCCCAAUCACCAUAAGCGAAGACCUCAUUCUCGUAAGGACUUGAAAUAUUCGACGAGGAUGCCAUAGAUGGAGGCUGAGUUAUAGAGCUCAGUUGGUCUGCAUGCAACUGUUUCCUCUCAUUGACAUGAUUAAUAACAGGCUUCUUAUCGCUAUAUUGAAUGUGUGGAGCACCAAAACUAAGGUAGUUUUCUCGACUGUUAGAAUCCACACUGCAUGUCUUAGAGCUUAUGUCAAUUGCAACUGGUUGACGUUUGUUAGAUAUUUCUCUCCAAUCUGGUGUGUACUUUCUGUGCGACACAUUUCUCUUGAAAAUUCGGCACAGUGUCCAAACUUCCGCUUCUUGGGCAGAGCUUUUAGCGUUGACAAGGUUGGUGGUGUUGCUAUCGUUGGCGGGGAGGCGAAACUCGUGCAUCAUCCACUCGGUUUUGGUGCCUUUUCCUGCACUUCCUCGGUAGUAUACUAAAGUUUUCUUGAGCCCAAUGCAGUCUCUGCCUUCUCCUCCAUUUGAGUACACAGGCUUAUCAAUGCCAGUUGCUUUCCAGAAUCCAGACCUCGUCACUCUAUUUGGUCUUAUGCUAUUCCUGUACUUCCUCCCUCUUUUGCAAAAGAAGUAUCCUUCUUUCUCUCCAACACUGCUAGGCUUUGGAAGAUCCCAUGGAUCGUAUUUGUAGAUAUCAACUUGUUUGAUGAGCUCAAUACUGAGUGGUUUCUUGUCAAUCUUUCUUCGAAGAUAGAACCCUACAAGUUCUUCAUCAGUUGGGUGGAAACGAAACCCUGGGAGUGCAACUUCUUCUUCAUCAUCGUCCAUAUGAUCUGGACGAGUUUCAGUAUUGUUGUUGCUGUUCAUCUUUCUUUCUGAUUCUGUGUGUUGG